UCUCUGGUAGUGUAUCGGUUAGUAUACGCGCCUGUCAUUACGCUCGUAUUUACCUACGCGCGAAAGCUGGGUUCGACUCCCAGCCAGAGAG
Non-coding RNA from Armillaria nabsnona, 91 nucleotides. The record is from the annotation of a GenBank genome assembly. NCBI's taxonomy places the organism in Eukaryota, Fungi, Basidiomycota, Agaricomycetes, Agaricales, Physalacriaceae.